GUUUAGGCCGGAAAUGGUCUAGUUCUCAGAGGUGGUCCGAUCCCUAACCAGUCCCAGGCCCAGCCCCAGCCCAGCACCACCUGGAAGGUUCAAGUACAUGGAGGAGAGGAGGCUUGGCGUAGACCGCGCACUGGAAGGCGUGCGCGCAGGUGUGCGUGACCAUGUGCUUGAAACGGCAGUAGCGCAGCGAGAAGGAUCGCCAUCACACGGCGCACUGGUGCGGCUUCUCCCCCGAGUGGAUGAACAUGUGCUUGGUGUCGUUUUUCCUUGAGCUGAACGUCUUGCAACAGUGGCCGCACGCAUAGCUGCCCCAGAUCCCGGAAGAAAAUCUCUCCCACACCACUGUAGUCAGAGAGGCCAGUGGGUGCAUGGAACUCCUCGCACGCGCUGUCAGCAGCAGCAGUGAGGAAGCCGGCAGCACAGUCUGGGAAGGAAGGAGGUGCUUGGCUCUCUCCCGGGCCGCCACCUUCGCCGUCCUCGCCAUCGGUCUCAUCGUCAGUUUCCUCGUCAUCGUUGUCACCUCGGUCGUCAGGGGCCGCGGACAGUGAGGGGCACCACCGAAGGCACACGGAUCUCAGAGGGGCCGAGCAGCAGCUUGUCUUGGAAGGAGGGCGAGCCGAUUGCCAGCCCGCAGCGGUGCGCACGCAGCGAAGCUUCAUGAAUGCACACAGUCACGUCGCAGAAGUGCCCACCCAGCUUCUGCCCAUUGAGGGUCUCAAGCAGAGAGCGUGAGAAGUUCUGCAGAUGUAUGUGGCGCACAGCCUCUACAGCCGCCGACUCCGACUCCUCUUCAGGCACCAGGCCUGGCCGUGGCCGCCUUCUCACCGACUCCAAGGCAGCACUUCCGGGCGCUUCUCUUUAUUUUUAUACAGUUUUAUUGAGAUAUAAUUUACAUGCUAUCCAGCCCAUCUAUUUCAAGUGUACCAUGCAAGGGGUUUGUAUAUAUUCACAGAGUUGUGUAUCCAUCACCAUCGUUUUAGAACAUUCAUCACUCCAGAAGAAACUACGUACCCAUCAGCAGCCACUGCCCAUUUCCCUGAUCUGCCCCGCCCUAGGAAAUCCGUAAUCACUUUCAGUCUAUGGAUUUGCCUAUUCUAGACCAUUCAUAUAAAUGAAGUCACACAACACUGGGUCUUAUGUGACUGGCUUCUAUCAAAGUUUGCAAGGUUCAUUUAUGUUCAUGGUCAUCACUGAUCAGAGGCCUAACCCAAGGAGGGGGUCAUGUGCAGACCCAGCUGUGGGGAGGAAAGAUGCUGCAGAGGAGACGGAUGCCCACAGAGGCCCCUGAGUGGAUACAAUGCUCACUAAGUGGGCUGACCCCACAUUGGACACCGCUGCAUCCAUGUCCAUCACACAACACAGCUGCCGUUUCUUCUGCCUGCUUAUGGGAAAGUCCCCUCUUCUCCUCCGUUUUCUUCUCUUCCUGCCCUAUCACACCGUGCACUUCUCCCUUUCCUUAAAGAACCACCAUCAACUUUAGGAGGAGGGAAAGGGGUGGCUCUGGCAGGAAAAGCCAGAAUCCCCUCUAGCCAGCAGAGAGAGAGAGGAAUGGCUGCAUGUUUUCUCCCCCAGUCCAAGGCACUGGGUCUUGGCUGGGUUGAAGGUUCCAAGCUGCUCUCCUGCUGUGUCGGUGAGUUCUGGUCAACCUGCAACCUCCUGAUAUGGCCAUUGCAGUUCAUCGAGUCUUCAGGGACUCCCCAUGGCCUGGAGUACUUUGCCUUGCUUACACGGGAGAGGAGAAUGGAUUUAUAGAGAACAUCAUCUAAAUCCAACUUGACCAUUGUGUGGCCACACUUGCUAGAUUGCUAUAGUCUAAAUCUAGCAUUGUAGAAAGACGGGGGAGCUUGGAGCUGCACAAACCCAGGUCUGGAACUGGCUCCUUACCUUGGAAGGUGAAUGAUCCUGCCAGGACUCUUAGCCUCCCUGGGUCUCAAUUUCUUUAUCUGUUUCAUGGGAAUGAGGAUCUCUGCUGGGUGGUUGGGUGAUGUGGGGGCUGUGUGAAAACAGCUUGUCAAUACAAGCCAAAAUAGAAAUAUUUCUCCACAGAGUAUGAAGGUCAAAUGAGAGAAUACAUUUAAAUUAAAUGGAAAAUUAAAAUGGUAAAAAAUGCAAAGCUGUAUUGAAAGUUCCGAGCUUCUCUAUAAGGAGCUUUUUGACUAUGGAAGAAUCCUGUACUCGUUCCCCCUAAAUAUAAAAAAAAAGUUGAAGGAGGCAGAAGGGAGAGUGAUGCACGAUGGGCAAGGACUUCACCUGCUGUUGCUGGCUUUGAGGAUGGAGGAAGGAGGCCACAAACCUAGAAGCUGGAGCCCCUAGAAGCUAGAAAAGGCAGGGACCCGAUUCUUUCCUUGAGCCUCCAGAAGGGACACAGCCCCGCCAGCACCUUGACUUUAGCCUGGUGAGAUCCUCUUAGGACUUUUGGCAAUCAGAACUAUAAGACAGAAAUGGAAGCCACUGAGUCUGUAGCUGUUUGUUGCAGCAGCAAUAGAAAACUAAUGCAGGGCCCAAGAAAUCACUGGUGAUGAGAUCGGGAAAGUGGGCUCAGGAGGUCUGGAUCUGUGAUGAGAUGGGGAAAGUGGGCUCAAGAGGUCUGGAUCUGUGGUGAGAUGGGGGAAGUGGGCUCAGGAGGUCUGGAUCUGUGAUGAGAUGGGGAAAGUGGGCUCAGGAGGUCUGGAUCUGUGAUGAGAUGGGGAAAGUGGGCUCAGGAGGUCUGGAUCUGUGAUGAGAUGGGGGAAGUGGGCUCAGGAGGUCUGGAUCUGUGAUGAGAUGGGGGAAGUGGGCUCAGGAGGUCUGGAUCUGUGAUGAGAUGGGGGAAGUGGGCUCAGGAGGUCUGGAUCUGUGAUGAGAUGGGGAAAGUGGGCUCAGGAGGUCUGGAUCUGUG
This 2878-nucleotide long non-coding RNA is filed under the name Homo sapiens (human). RNAcentral's name for it is "HSALNT0037588". Lineage: Eukaryota; Metazoa; Chordata; Mammalia; Primates; Hominidae. The record is from RNAcentral.